This 511-nucleotide ribosomal RNA is filed under the name uncultured Acetobacterium sp. RNAcentral describes it as "bacterial SSU rRNA". It matches the Rfam family "Bacterial small subunit ribosomal RNA", at positions 343 to 876 of the family's 1533-position model. Lineage: Bacteria; Bacillati; Bacillota; Clostridia; Eubacteriales; Eubacteriaceae. The record is from RNAcentral.
GGGAGGCAGCAGUGGGGAAUAUUGCGCAAUGGGGGCAACCCUGAGGCAGCAAUACCGCGUGAGUGAAGAAGGUUUUUGGAUAAUAAAGCUCUUUUAUUGGGGAAGAAAAAAAGACCGUACCCAAGAAGAAAGUCCCGGCUAACUCCGUGCCCGCAGCCGCGGUAAUAGGUAGGGGACUAAUCUUGUCCCGAUUUGCUUGGAGGAAAGGGCAGGCUGGCGGUUUUUUAAGUCAGAAGGGAAAGGUACCGGCUCAACCGGUCACAUGCAUUUGAAACUGAAGGGCUUGAGUGAGGGAGAGGCAAGUGGAAUUCCUAGUGUAGCGGUGAAAUGCGUAGAUAUUAGGAGGAACACCGGUGGCGAAGGCGGCUUGCUGGACAAAUACUGACGCUGAGGAGCGAAAGCGUGGGGAGCAAACAGGAUUAGAUACCCUGGUCGUCCACGCCGUAAACGAUGAGUGCUAGGUGUUGGGGAGACUCAGUGCCGCAGCUAACGCAAUAAGCACUCCGCCUGG